CCUAGUGGCGGACGGGUGAGUAACGCGUGGGUAACCUGCCUCAUACAGGGGGAUAACAGUUAGAAAUGACUGCUAAUACCGCAUAAGACCACAGCACCGCAUGGUGCAGGGGUAAAAACUCCGGUGGUAUGAGAUGGACCCGCGUCUGAUUAGGUAGUUGGUGGGGUAACGGCCUACCAAGCCGACGAUCAGUAGCCGACCUGAGAGGGUGACCGGCCACAUUGGGACUGAGACACGGCCCAA
This 243-nucleotide ribosomal RNA is filed under the name uncultured bacterium. RNAcentral's name for it is "partial 16S ribosomal RNA". It matches the Rfam family "Bacterial small subunit ribosomal RNA", at positions 91 to 334 of the family's 1533-position model. The record is from RNAcentral.